RNAcentral lists this unclassified non-coding RNA (4929 nucleotides) under Hevea brasiliensis (rubber tree). Lineage: Eukaryota; Viridiplantae; Streptophyta; Magnoliopsida; Malpighiales; Euphorbiaceae. The record is from RNAcentral.
CGAGUACCCUCAAGAGCGUCAAAACCUUUCCCUCCCUUUUCCUUCUCGCACCUCACUCCUCACUUCUCACCCGUUUCCUCAGCUAAAAGUACUCCGGCUCAGCCUCACCACCGAUAGCAACCGGCGAUCAGCGCCUGUGAUCGAUUCCUCUCACUUGCCUUCGCUUCAAUUGACAAUUUCAUGCCUCUACUUAUGUAUCAUAGUUUCUGCGCUAUAUAGAGUUUCUGUAAUCAUAAACUAAAGAGGAAGAACCGAAGAUGAGUACCGUCGAUAAGAUGCUUAUAAAAGGAAUCCGGAGUUUCGACCCGGAGAACAAAAACGUCAUCACCUUCUUCAAGCCUCUAACCCUAAUCGUCGGCCCCAACGGCGCUGGCAAAACUACGAUUAUAGAGUGUUUAAAGCUUUCUUGCACAGGAGAGUUGCCUCCAAAUGCGAGGUCUGGCCACAGUUUUGUUCAUGAUCCCAAGGUUGCGGGGGAAACAGAGACAAAGGGGCAAAUUAAGCUACGAUUCAAGACUGCAGCAGGGAAAGACGUGGUUUGCAUAAGAUCAUUCCAGCUAACACAGAAGGCAUCAAAAAUGGAGUAUAAGGCUAUUGAGAGUGUACUUCAAACAAUAAAUCCACAUACUGGAGAGAAAGUUUGCCUUAGCUAUAGAUGUGCUGACAUGGAUCGAGAAAUCCCUGCUUUAAUGGGUGUCUCAAAGGCCAUUCUAGAAAAUGUUAUAUUUGUUCACCAAGAUGAAGCUAACUGGCCUUUGCAAGAUCCUUCCACAUUAAAGAAGAAGUUUGAUGAUAUCUUCUCUGCCACACGGUAAACUAUUAAAUUUUGCAAUGUUCAAUUACACAGAUACACAAAGGCAUUGGAGGUUAUUAAAAAACUUCACAAGGAUCAGGCUCAAGAGAUAAAGACCUACAAACUUAAAUUAGAAAAUCUUCAGACCUUGAAGGACUCUGCAUAUAAGCUUCGGCAAAGCAUUGGUCAGGAUGAAGAAAGAACAGAAUCUUCAAAAGUCCAAAUACAAGAUGUAGAAAAUAAAGUUCAGAAUGUUGAUGCAAAAAUCCAUCAAAUUGAAACAACUCUGAAAGAUUUGAGAAAACUACAGGAGCAGAUAUCAACAAAAACUGCUGAAAGGAGAACUUUGUUUAAGGAGCAGCAGAGACAGUAUGAAGCUCUUGAGGAGGAAAAUGAAGAUACUGAUGAAGACCUGAUGAAAUGGAAAACCAAGUUUGAUGAACAUGUUGCAUCUUUGGAAUCUAACAUUGGCAAGUUGGAGAGGGAAAUGAAUGACAUUGAGACAAAAAGUUCUCUUCAUAGGCAGAGCAUUACAGAGUAUAUCCGAGAGAGUAGCAAGCUUCAGACUGAAGCUGAAGCUCACGGUUCCCAGAAGAAUGAAAGGGAUUCUACUAUCCAAAAACUUUGUGCAAGACAUAAUUUAGGGUCUCUUCCACAUACCCCUUUCAGUGAUGACGUUGCUUUGAACCUUAUGAAUAGACUAAAAUCAAGGUUGAUAGAUCUCGAGAAGGAUUUGCAAGAUAAAAAGACAUCAAAUGAUAUUGAAGUUAAGACAGCAGAGAAUCACUAUUGGGAUGUAAAUGACCGUUGGAAAAACACUGAGGCUCUGAAGCAUGCUAAAUUAGAGAUAAAGAACGGCAUUGUGAAUCGCAUGAAAGAUAAGGAACGUGAUCUUGCUUCACUUGAAGAACAAAUUUCACAUAUUAAUCUUUCUCAUAUGGAUGAAAGAGAAAAAAACUUGCAAAUUGAAGUUGAGAGAAAGACAAAGCAGCUUGCUGAAAGAGAGUUUGAAUCAAACAUUCGUCAAAAGCAAAGUGAGCUGUAUGGGAUAGAGCAACAGAUUAAGGCACUCAAUCGCGAGAAAGACAUCUUGGCUGGAGAUUCUGAGGACAGAGUGAAACUGUCCCUGAAGAAGGCAGAGUUGGAGAAUCACAAGAAGAAGCACAGAAAAAUAAUUGAUGAAUACAAGGAUAGAAUCAGAGAAGUGCUAAAAGGGAGGCUUCCUGCUGAUAAGGAUAUGAAGAAGGAAAUUACUCAAGCCUUAAGGGCUCUUGGAAUUGAAUUUGAUGACUUGAAUUCAAAAUCUCGUGAAGCUGAGAAGGAGGUAAAUGUGUUGCAGAUGAAAAUACAAGAUGUUAACAAUAACCUGUCCAAACUUCUCAAGGAUAUGGACUCAAGGAAGAGAUUCAUUGAAUCCAAACUCCAAUCCUUGGAUCAACAAUCUUUUACCAUUGAUUUGUACCUCAAAGCUUUGGAGUCUGCAAAGGAGAAAAAAGAUGUCCAGAAAAGCAAGUACAAUAUUGCAGAUGGUAUGCGGCAAAUGUUUGAUCCUUUUGAAAGGGUUGCCCGUGCUCAUCACAUGUGCCCUUGCUGUGAGCGCCCUUUCUCUGCUGAAGAGGAAGAUGAGUUUGUUAAAAAGCAAAGAGUGAAGGCUGCAAGUUCUGCUGAGCACAUGAAGGUGUUGGCUUCAGAGUCCUUAAAUGCAGAUUCUUAUUUUCAGCAGCUGGACAAGCUUCGUAUUGUUUUUGAGGAAUAUGUCAAAAUUGGCAAGGAAACAAUUCCUCUUGCAGAGAAAAAUUUGCAUGAACUUACUGAACAGCUGGAUGAGAAAUCUCAAGUCCUUGAUGAUGUGUUGGGUGUUUUAGCUCAAAUAAAGGCUGACAAGGACUCAGUUGACGCCCUGGUGCAACCUGUUGAAACUGCUGAUAGGCUUUAUCAAGAAAUCCAAACGUGGCAAAAGCAAGUUGAUGAUUUGGAGUACAAGCUUGACUUUCGGGGGCAAGGUGUCAGAUCUAUGGAAGAAAUUCAGUCAGAACUGAGUAGUUUGCAGGGCACAAGGGAUGCUUUGCAUACUGAACUGGAGAAGUUAAGGGAAGAUAGGAGGUACAUGGAAAAUGAUUUGUCACACAUUCAACUACGUUGGCAUGGUCUAAGGGAGGAGAAAACUAGAAUAGGUAACACCUUGCAUGAUCUAAAAAAGGUGGAAGAGGAGUUGGAACGAUUAUCUGAGGAAAAAAACCAAGUUGAGCUUGAUGAGAAGCAUUUGGAAGAGGCUCUCGGCCCUUUAUCUAAGGAGAGAGAAAAAUUGCAGAGUUACUGCAGUGAAUUGAAAGUGAAACUUGAGAAGGAAUACGAGGAGCAGAAAAAACAAUUAGAUGACUAUCAGUGGGAAGUCAGCGCACUUCUCAAGACUAAUUCUAAAAUUAAGGAGUAUAAUGAUUUAAAGAAAGGGGAUAGAUUGAAGGAGGUGCGAGAAAAACUCUCUCUAUUAGAGUCUCAGCUUCAAAGUUGUGAUAAAAGGAAGGAAGAGAUUUUAGCUGAAUUAAACCGAAGUAAAGAUGUUUUAAGGAGCCAAGAUUCCAUAAAAAGAAAUAUUGAGGACAACUUGAAUUACAGGAAAACUAAGGCUGAAGUGGAUAAGCUUACCCAGGAGAUUGAAUCUUUGGAAGACAGAAUACUGAAGAUUGGCAGGGUUUCUACAUUUGAAGCUGAACUUGUCAGAUAUUCACAAGAAAGAGAGAGACUUCUUUCAGAGUUGAACAGGUGCCGUGGUACAAUGUCAGUUUACCAGAGUAAUAUUUCAAAGAAUAAGAUUGAUCUUAAACAGGCCCAAUACAAGGACAUUGACAAGCGGUACUUCGACCAGCUAAUUCAGCUUAAGACGACUGAAAUGGCAAACAAGGACCUGGACAGAUACUACAAUGCAGUUGACAAAGCACUUAUGCGGUUCCACACCAUGAAAAUGGAGGAAAUAAAUAAAAUCAUUAGGGAAUUGUGGCAACAAACAUACAGAGGACAGGAUAUAGAUUACAUUAGCAUUCAUUCAGAUUCAGAAGGUGCUGGGACUCGAUCUUACAGCUACAAGGUUCUAAUGCAGACUGGAGAUGCAGAGCUAGAAAUGAGAGGAAGGUGCAGUGCUGGUCAGAAGGUCCUUGCCUCUCUUAUUAUUCGGCUGGCUUUAGCAGAGACAUUUUGCCUUAACUGUGGAAUACUAGCUCUAGAUGAGCCUACAACGAACUUGGAUGGCCCAAAUGCCGAGAGUCUUGCUGCAGCUCUUCUUAGAAUUAUGGAGGAUAGAAAGGGGCAGGAGAAUUUUCAACUGAUAGUGAUUACUCAUGAUGAACGUUUUGCCCAUCUGAUUGGUCAAAGGCAGCAUGCAGAACGAUACUAUAGAGUCACUAAAGAUGAUCAUCAGCAUAGCAUAAUUGAAUCUCAAGAGAUUUUUUAUUGACAAUCGAAAAUGAGGCAGAAGCAUCCUUUGUUCAGAAGGAGAAAGACUUGGAAUGUUCAAUCUGAAAUUGAAAAAAUUUCCAGAAGUCAGUUUUUUGUAUAUAAGCAAUGGGUAAAUUAAUUAUGAUACAUCAUUUCCCUCCUUUCCCUUGGUUUCUUUUCUUUUAUUGAAAACCUCUCUAUAUGAAAGCCUUGUUUAUUGCUUGGAUGAAGUCCUCCAAGCCAAAAGCAUCUAACCUUUGGUUGUUGUAAACGGUGAUGUAGUGCACUCUGUUUUAAUAACGAGUAUUGAUCAAAGCAUGGACAAGGUGGAAGUGAGUGUUGUCUUGUUUUCCCACCACUCAUUUCUGCUUGCUGCAACUUGGCAUGUGUUGCGUUUGUGGCAUAGCAAAAGGAUGUGGUGUUGGAGAGAUUCACAAAUUAUGGAUUCCAAUACGUUUCAUAUCUGACACUGGGUUAAACUUCAGACUUUUCAGGACCAUUUUUUAUCCAGCAAUUCUGGGCACCAUCGACGAUGACAAUGUUAUUCUUGCUGAAUCUGAAUUAACUUCCCUUUCGCAUUUCUGUGAAACCUUCCCUACUCUUUUAAACGUGCAUCCUGUGGAAGGCACACUUAUAAAUGAUAUGCAAGAAAAAAAAAUCAAAUUGAAUUUGUAUACAAUUAUAUUUUAUUUUUUAUAAUUUAG